UACAGAGGUCUCAAGCGUUGUUCGGAUUCAUUGGGCGUAAAGGGUGCGUAGGUGGCGCUGUAAGUCAGGUGUGAAAUUUCGGAGCUUAACUCCGAAACUGCAUUUGAUACUGCGGUGCUUGAGGACUGGAGAGGAGACUGGAAUUCACGGUGUAGCAGUGAAAUGCGUAGAUAUCUGGAGGAACACCGGUGGCGAAGGCGGCGUUCUGGACUGCAACUGACACUGAGGAACGAAAGCCAGGGGAGCAAACGGG
RNAcentral lists this ribosomal RNA (253 nucleotides) under uncultured bacterium. Its description in RNAcentral is "partial 16S ribosomal RNA". It matches the Rfam family "Bacterial small subunit ribosomal RNA", at positions 524 to 776 of the family's 1533-position model. The record is from RNAcentral.